UAGCUUAACUAAAGCAUUCCGCUUACACCGGAAAAAAGUCUGUUAAAUUCGGACUACCCCGU
RNAcentral lists this transfer RNA (62 nucleotides) under Ischnocnema holti (Holt's robber frog). RNAcentral describes it as "tRNA-Val". It matches the Rfam family "tRNA". From Rfam's summary of the family: Transfer RNA (tRNA) molecules are approximately 80 nucleotides in length. Their secondary structure includes four short double-helical elements and three loops (D, anti-codon, and T loops). The record is from RNAcentral. Lineage: Eukaryota; Metazoa; Chordata; Amphibia; Anura; Brachycephalidae.